AAGUCGUAACAAGGUAUCCGUAGGUGAACCUGCGGAUGGAUCAUUACCAAUUUUAUAUAUUAGUGUGUAUGCCGCUGUCAAAGGUGGUACUACACUACUACUAUUAUGUAAACGUUGAACUAGAUCAAUUGGUGUGGAUUGCUUGGGAAUGGACGAAGCGACAAGCCUCUUCCGGACAGGCAAACCCCACACUGAUAACCCUUUUCAAUAUAAUUUACUAGUACAUACUACAAACAAACAAAAGCUAUAAUAGGACUUAUAAACAGGCUGAGUGGGUAAAAUCCUCGGCUUAACCAAUAUAACUAUUACAACUUUCAGCAAUGGAUCUCUAGGCUCUC
RNAcentral lists this unclassified non-coding RNA (338 nucleotides) under Ramicandelaber taiwanensis. Its description in RNAcentral is "partial internal transcribed spacer region". The stretch from base 1 to 46 matches the Rfam family "Eukaryotic small subunit ribosomal RNA", at positions 1786 to 1831 of the family's 1831-position model. Lineage: Eukaryota; Fungi; Kickxellomycota; Ramicandelaberales; Ramicandelaberaceae. The record is from RNAcentral.